AUGAAGGCUCUUCAUCCUUUUGCCUUGCUCCCCUUCUUGAUUUUUCUUCUACUAUCCACCGAUAAUGCCAGUGGCUAUGGACAUGGCGAGGCGUUGCAUGGAGAUGCGCUGGCCUUGCUCUCCCUCAAGGCCUCCCUCAGCUGCCGCCCCCACGUGCUGCGCUCGUGGCUGCCGGGCAAUGUCGCCUCGGUGUGCGAGUGGACCGGCGUCCGCUGCGCCGGCGGCAGAGUGGUCUCCGUCGACAUCGCCAACAUGAACGUGUCCACUGGCGCGCCCGUGACGGCCGAGGUGACUGGGUUCGCCGCGCUUGCGAACCUCUCCCUCGCCGGGAACGGCAUCGUGGGCGCGGUGGUCGUGUCCGCCCUCCCGGAGCUCCGCUACGUCAAUGUCUCCGGCAACCAGCUCGGCGGCGGCCUCGACGGCUGGGACUUCCCGUCGCUCCCCAGCCUCGAGGUGUUCGACGCCUACGACAACAACUUCUCCUCCUCGCUCCCGCCCGGCGUGACGGCGCUGGCGCGGCUCCGGUACCUUGACCUUGGCGGCAAUUACUUCUCCGGGGUGAUACCCGCGUCGUACGGCGGGAUGCUGGCUCUGGAGUACCUGUCCCUCAACGGCAACAACCUGCAGGGCGCCAUCCCGCCGGAGCUCGGCAACCUGACGAGCCUCAGGGAGCUCUACCUCGGGUACUACAACGCAUUCGACGGCGGCAUCCCGGCGGAGCUCGGCCGGCUGCGCAACCUCACCAUGCUGGACGUCUCCAACUGCGGCCUCACCGGGAGCAUCCCGUCGGAGCUCGGCGGGCUCGCCUCUCUCGACACGCUGUUCCUCCACACCAACCAGCUGACGGGCGAAAUCCCGCCGGAGCUCGGCCACCUCACGGCGCUCACCAGGCUGGACCUGUCCAACAACGCGCUCACCGGCGAGGUGCCGAGCACCCUGGCGUCCCUCACCUCGCUCCGGCUGCUCAACCUGUUCCUCAACCGGCUCCACGGCCCGGUCCCUGACUUCGUGGCCGCGCUGCCGCUGCUGGAGACGCUGCAGCUCUUCAUGAACAACUUCACCGGCCGCGUCCCGGCGGGCCUCGGCGCCAACGCGGCGCUCCGGCUCGUCGACCUGUCAUCGAACCGGCUCACCGGCAUGAUCCCCGAGAUGCUGUGCUCCUCCGGCGAGCUGCACACCGCCAUCCUCAUGAACAACUUCCUCUUCGGCCCCAUCCCCGGGCCGCUCGGCUCGUGCGCGAGCCUCACCCGGGUCCGGUUCGGCCACAACUACCUCAACGGCACCAUUCCCGCCGGCUUCCUCUACCUCCCGCGGCUCAACCUGCUGGAGCUGCAGAACAACCUGCUCUCCGGUCCGGUCCCGUCGAACCCGAGCCCGACCCUAGCCGGUUCGCAGCUGGCUCAGCUCAACCUGUCCAACAACCUGCUGUCCGGGCCGCUGCCUGCCGCGCUGGCCAACCUCUCCGCGCUGCAGACGCUGCUGGUCAGCAACAACCGUCUCGCCGGCGCCGUGCCGCCGGAGGUGGGCGAGCUCCGGCUGCUCGUGAAGCUCGACCUCAGCGGCAAUGAGCUGUCCGGGCCGAUACCGGAGGCCAUCGGCCGGUGUGGGCAGCUCACGUACAUUGACCUCAGCACCAACAACCUGUCUGGUCCUAUCCCAGAGGCCAUCGCCGGGAUAAGAGUGCUGAAUUACCUCAACCUGUCGAGGAACCAGCUCGAGGAGUCCAUCCCCGCGGCGAUCGGGGCGAUGAGCAGCCUCACGGCGGCCGACUUCUCCUACAACGACCUGUCCGGCCAGCUGCCGGACACGGGCCAGCUGAGGUACCUGAACGAGACGGCGUUCGCGGGCAACCCGAGGCUGUGCGGGCCGGUGCUGAACCGGCCCUGCAACAUCAGCAGCGACACCGGCGGGUCGACGGCCGUCAGCCCGCGGCGGGCGACGGCGGGGGACUACAAGCUGGUGUUCGCGCUGGGGCUGCUGGCGUGCUCGGUGGUAUUCGCCGUGGCGGCCGUGCUGCGCGCGAGGUCGUACCGCGGCGGGCCGGACGGCGCGUGGCGGUUCACGGCGUUCCACAAGGUGGACUUCGGCAUCGCUGAGGUGAUCGAGUGCAUGAAGGACGGGAACGUGGUGGGCCGCGGCGGCGCCGGCGUGGUGUACGCGGGGCGGGCGCGGUCGGGCGGCGCGAUCGCGGUGAAGCGGCUGAACGGCGGCGGGCGGCACGACCACGGGUUCCGCGCGGAGAUCCGGACGCUGGGCAGCAUCCGGCACCGGAACAUCGUGCGGCUGCUGGCCUUCUGCACCAACGACCGGGAGGCGAACGUGCUGGUGUACGAGUACAUGGGCGGCGGCAGCCUCGGCGAGGUGCUCCACGGCAAGGGCGGCGGGUUCCUGGCGUGGGACCGGCGGUACCGGAUCGCGCUGGAGGCGGCGCGCGGGCUCUGCUACCUGCACCACGACUGCAGCCCGAUGAUCGUGCACCGCGACGUCAAGUCCAACAACAUCCUCCUCGGCGACGACCUGGAGGCCCACGUGGCGGACUUCGGGCUGGCCAAGUUCCUCCGCUCCGGCUCCGGCGGCGGCGCGGCCAACGCCGGCGCCUCCGAGUGCAUGUCCGCCGUCGCCGGGUCGUACGGCUACAUCGCGCCAGAGUACGCGUACACCUUGAGAGUGGACGAGAAGAGCGACGUGUACAGCUUCGGCGUCGUCCUGCUGGAGCUCGUCACCGGCAGGCGGCCGGUGGGGGACUUCGGCGAAGGGGUGGACAUCGUGCAGUGGGCGAAGCGGGUCACCGACGGCCGGCGGGAGAGCGUGCCCAAGGUCGUCGACCGCCGGCUGAGCACGGUGCCCAUGGACGAGGUGUCCCACCUCUUCUUCGUGUCCAUGCUCUGCGUCCAGGAGAACAGCGUGGAGCGCCCGACGAUGAGGGAGGUGGUGCAGAUGCUGUCCGAGUUCCCCCGCCACGCCUCCAGCCAGCCCUCGCCGUCGUCGGCGUCGUCCUCGUCGGCGCCGGAGCCGGAGAAGGAGCCCAACUGCUACAAGCUGUUCCCGGAUCUGCUGAACUAA
This 3063-nucleotide ribosomal RNA is filed under the name Triticum aestivum (bread wheat). Its description in RNAcentral is "partial small subunit ribosomal RNA". The record is from RNAcentral. Lineage: Eukaryota; Viridiplantae; Streptophyta; Magnoliopsida; Poales; Poaceae.